This 534-nucleotide ribosomal RNA is filed under the name Onosandrus sp. RCP-2009. Its description in RNAcentral is "eukaryotic LSU rRNA". It matches the Rfam family "Eukaryotic large subunit ribosomal RNA", at positions 657 to 1149 of the family's 3401-position model. Lineage: Eukaryota; Metazoa; Arthropoda; Insecta; Orthoptera; Anostostomatidae. The record is from RNAcentral.
AAACACGGACCAAGGAGUCUAACAUGUGCGCGAGUCAUUGGGCUUUAAAACCCAUAGGCGCAAUGAAAGUGAAGGUCUCGCCUUGCGCGGACCGAGGGAAGAUGGAGCUCGCGUAAGCGUGUCUUCCGCAUUCCCGGGGCGUCUCGUUCUCAUUGCGAGUUGAGGCGCACCCAGAGCGUACACGUUGGGACCCGAAAGAUGGUGAACUAUGCCUGGCCAGGACGAAGUCAGGGGAAACCCUGAUGGAGGUCCGAAGCGAUUCUGACGUGCAAAUCGAUCGUCAGAGCUGGGUAUAGGGGCGAAAGACUAAUCGAACCAUCUAGUAGCUGGUUCCUCCGAAGUUUCCCUCAGGAUAGCUGGUGCUCUACCGAGUCUCAUCCGGUAAAGCGAAUGAUUAGAGGCCUUGGGGCCGAAACGACCUCAACCUAUUCUCAAACUUUAAAUGGGUGAGAUCUCCGGCUUGCUUGACUUGCUUUGAAGCCGCGAGAAUCGGAUGGAUCGGAGUGCCAAGUGGGCCACUUUUGGUAAGCAGAA